UUUAACUGGUUCUGCAGCCUUUUUCUCCCCACAGCCUCUGCUUGUUCCCUUCUUCUCUUUCUGUCUUCCCUCCAGGAGAGCUCCUCAGGCAUCUCCUGCCUGUAAUUCCUGGGAAAUGCCACCUGCCACCCAUCCUUGGAAGCGUCGCCCAUUCUCAGGAUCUCAUGCGUCACCAUUCAUCACAGUCACAGCGCUUGCAGACAUCUGGAUAAAAGGAAAAGCCCAUUUUUUUAAAACUUACACGUUAAAUUUUCCUCUAAUUACCAUUUUAUUCUUUUAAAUUUCAUUAUGUUUAAUUACAUUUAGUAUGGAUUAAGGCACAGCCAGCCUGGAUUAAGGCAUCACCAGCCUGGCAUCAGACUCUCCGGACAAUGCCAGCCCAGAGGGGGCUGACCUGGAGGACAUUCCCCCGGAGGACAUGGAGUGGGAGCCUCCAGGUCUUGACCUGAGUCCCACUCCGUGGUGUCAGCCCCGUGGCCAAAGUUUCCCCAGCCGAGGAGGCUAUCGCCGCGACAACGGCAGGGUCAACAGAAAUCCAGUCGUGGGCUCAGCUCCGGGAGGAAAAAACGAGGGUCCCUGGUUUGGUCCAGUUCCUGUCCUGCCUGCCCCUCGACACCCUCCGACUCUGCCAACCCCUCGCCGUCUACCGAUGCUGUUCUUCCCUCGGCUGCCGCAGACGAGUAGAGCUUCUACAGACCCAGACAGGAUUCCAAAGGCCCCCCUGGCCGUGACCCUUCUGCGGCACCCCGGAGCCCAUCAGAGGCCCUGAACUGUUCACUUUACCUCCCAUGCUACCUAGUGUCUUGCCCCUCCUAAUACCUCAGUCUUUGGUCUGUAGUCUUGCUUCCCCGUGGCUCUCCCUGGUUUCACCUCUUAGCCUGAUUUCACUGUUCCAGCCCCCACUCCAGUCACUCUUGCUUCCCGCUUUAGGUUCCCCUCUCCUGGCCAUAUUAUUGUUGCACUGGUUCCGUUGCUUGCCUGUCUUGUCUGGUUGUGUCCUGCCUUGUCUGUCCCUGUGUCGUCUUUGGUCCUUUUGAUGCCCAAUCCCUCCCUUUUGUCUCCUUCUACUGUGUCCUUUGUUCCCACUUACCCACUGACACCCACUGUCUGUCUUUUGGUCCAUAGUCAGCAUCCCUGUUGGAUUACCUGGCCUGUCAUGAUUUGUGUCCUGGGGGUUAGUCUCCCCUGUUGUCCUUGGUUUUGCCCUGGUCUGUGUGUCCCCUCAAUGAUGCCCUUGUACCCGGAGGGCACAGGAUUGGGAGGGGGGCGUUUACUGUCAUAUCUUGCCCAUUUAAUCAACCUUACCCUCCAGUUCUCCUCCCUGAUGAGCCACGCUUGGUGUCUAUUAGUCUCAUCCCAUGUUCCUCCCCUUCUGUCAGUCACUAUCAGCUUCCUUGUGUUUUCCCAUUCCUUAGUCUGGUAAAGUGCCCAGUCCUAUCUUCUCCAGUUGUGUCCUUGUCUGUUUGCGUCUCUGUGCCCAAACCUGCCUGUCAAUAAAACCCCACGAAGGGGAUUCUGCCCUA
Long non-coding RNA from Brienomyrus brachyistius, 1523 nucleotides. RefSeq lists it as uncharacterized. The transcript has 2 exons. NCBI's taxonomy places the organism in Eukaryota, Metazoa, Chordata, Actinopteri, Osteoglossiformes, Mormyridae. The record is from RefSeq and is a predicted model, not a curated record.